GGCUGGUCCGAUGGUAGUGGGUUAUCAGAACUUAUUAACAUUAGUGUCACUAAAGUUGGUAUACAACCCCCUACUGCUAAAUUUGACUGGCUUUAA
This is a Y RNA of Callithrix jacchus (white-tufted-ear marmoset), 96 nucleotides long. It matches the Rfam family "Y RNA". From Rfam's summary of the family: Y RNAs are components of the Ro ribonucleoprotein particle (Ro RNP), in association with Ro60 and La proteins. The record is from Ensembl. NCBI's taxonomy places the organism in Eukaryota, Metazoa, Chordata, Mammalia, Primates, Cebidae.